RNAcentral lists this long non-coding RNA (779 nucleotides) under Prunus dulcis (almond). RNAcentral describes it as "sRNA ncRNA". Lineage: Eukaryota; Viridiplantae; Streptophyta; Magnoliopsida; Rosales; Rosaceae. The record is from RNAcentral.
CAAAAAGAAAACCAGGAGACACCGACUUACAACAGACAAAAUUAAAAUUUAAGAAUUGGGCUACUUUCUCAAUCCAGUCCAAUUACAUUACACACAAAUAUGUAACCCAAUGCUUUUUUCUAUAAGCUAGCAAGCUGUUUGUAUUACACUUAUACCCAUGGACGACGUCAUUACUCAAUCGCAACCUGCAGGGGCAAAUCCGACUUUUCCUCCGGCCACGUCAUACACAACCUCCAACCUCUUCUGUUGAACAUUCCCAAUAAUCCCGACGUCACUAUCAUCCUUGUUUCCGGCAAACGCCAAGCAAACCUGCGAAGGACUUAUCUGAAACAAUAUCCCGGUCGCGUCCAAGUCCACCGUAAGUCCAUCCCCAAACACAAACGCUAUCUUCGGAUAUGACACCGUGUUCAAGCCGCUGAAAUCGUAACACGUGUCCAGCAACGAAUCGCCAUUAGUCAGCGUGUAGUUCUUCAUCGCCUCCCGAAACGCGCCCCGCAACACGGCGUAUGCCGUCGCCGGCAACCGCGUGAUCACCGUCCCUGAGUCGAUGAUCGUUCCAGAAGACGAAAAGACCGAGGGCGCAAUCGACAGCUGGCUCCCACCGACGUUGAUGCCGGCGAGGCCGAGGCCGUAAAGCGACGACGCGCUUUCGCUUUGGGAUGACGUGAUGAGCUUCGUGAACUUAACGCCGUUAGGAGAGCCUCCGUCACCAAAGGUGAGGUGACCGGUGGAGCUGGAAGUCGACGGGAGGCAGUAGGAGAAGAACCGGUUGUAUUUAU